Molecule: long non-coding RNA, 447 nt
Organism: Peromyscus eremicus (cactus mouse)
Lineage: Eukaryota; Metazoa; Chordata; Mammalia; Rodentia; Cricetidae
Exons: 4
Source: RefSeq, a predicted model, not a curated record
AGUGAGAAUUGCUUCUUGUCCCUCAGAUUCUAUGUUACCUGUCCUCGGUCCACUUGGAAUCUCUUGAGAGAGCCGAGUCCUGUGUGUUCCUAGGCCCUGCCACAGGUACCUGGACGGCCUGCCUGUUGAGGCGAGGUUGUGGAUGUCCCUGGCCCCAGUGUUCCCUGCUUUGGAUGAUGUGGGGCAGCAUCCACUUGAAUGCACUUCACCAAGGAGGCCAAGGUUUUGGAAGGAAGCCCUUCUCCACUCCCAUCUCAAUAUUAGACCAUCGGAGCAUGGGACAGGAAGCUCUGGCCCCCCACCCUGGAGUCCUGAUCAGUGUACACAGCUGCCUGUCCCUUUCCCUUGUGUCCAUCUGUGAGCAGUCUUCUGCCAGAAAAUAUUUAUACAAAGAUCAAGAUCGUUAACAAUAAAAAGUUCACAUUUUAACUAUUCGGCCUCCAGAUU